GCCUUCGUGGUGUAACUGUUAGCACAAUCGACGUUUAUUCGAGAGGUCCAGGUUCGAGUCCCGGUAAGGGCA
RNAcentral lists this transfer RNA (72 nucleotides) under Stegodyphus mimosarum. It matches the Rfam family "tRNA". From Rfam's summary of the family: Transfer RNA (tRNA) molecules are approximately 80 nucleotides in length. Their secondary structure includes four short double-helical elements and three loops (D, anti-codon, and T loops). The record is from Rfam by way of RNAcentral. Lineage: Eukaryota; Metazoa; Arthropoda; Arachnida; Araneae; Eresidae.